UUGACGUUCCCGCGCCCCUCCUCCCUUUGACGCCCGGAGCACGAGACACUCGACCCUGCUGUCGCGAAGACAAACAAAUGUUCACGUGCUCUAAUAUGACGGCACGAGACGGAACACCUUAACAUGUAACGAGGGAAAGGCAAAGGAGCGACAUUCAGGGGGUUCAGGGUUUCAGCACCAUGGACAGCUCUUUGGGGGGAAAGCUUGUGCUGCAUUCAAUUUUAUCGUUCAUUUUAAUCCACCUCCAUGAUCACAUGAUGCCGUUGGUCGUCUGCAGCAUGCCGAUUAGCUGCAAUGGGAUGAAGAAGAAACCGAGUGUUAGCAUUAAAACAGAGAGUAGAGGUUUCCAGGAGCAUCAGGAGCAUCAAGAGCAUCAGGAGCAUCAGGAGCAUCAAGAGCAUCAGGAGCAUCAGGAGCAUCAGGAGCAUCAGGAGCAUCAGGAGCAUCAGGAGCAUCAGGAGCUGCAUGGUCUGAAACCAAAGAGAGAUUAUUGAUUUUUAUUUGAACAUUAAAGUUAAAAUCAAAUAUUGUUUACAUGUUCUUUUAGACUUUAAGGUGUCUGUACACAUUUUCUGCAGUAACAGAACUUCAACUUUAAGUUUGUGGAUUUCACCUCCUCCUCCAAAGACUAAAAGUUAAAGAGCUAAAUACUGCACUAUUUCUACUGGCCAGCAGGGGGAGACUAAAUUGUAUAGAAGUCCACUGGAGAGGACACCA
Notolabrus celidotus (New Zealand spotty) is the source of this 717-nucleotide long non-coding RNA. RefSeq lists it as uncharacterized. The record is from RefSeq and is a predicted model, not a curated record. The transcript has 3 exons. Lineage: Eukaryota; Metazoa; Chordata; Actinopteri; Labriformes; Labridae.